RNAcentral lists this ribosomal RNA (26 nucleotides) under Rhus copallinum (winged sumac). RNAcentral describes it as "partial 28S ribosomal RNA". RNAcentral also lists the same sequence under 24 other names. Lineage: Eukaryota; Viridiplantae; Streptophyta; Magnoliopsida; Sapindales; Anacardiaceae. The record is from RNAcentral.
CCCAGGUCAGGCGGGAUUACCCGCUG